RNAcentral lists this ribosomal RNA (474 nucleotides) under uncultured bacterium. RNAcentral's name for it is "bacterial SSU rRNA". It matches the Rfam family "Bacterial small subunit ribosomal RNA", at positions 28 to 517 of the family's 1533-position model. The record is from RNAcentral.
GAUGAACGCUAGCGGCAGGCUUAAUACAUGCAAGUCGAGGGGCAGCGCAGUGUAGCAAUACAUGGGCGGCGACCGGCAAACGGGUGCGUAACACGUACGCAACCUUCCCGUUACUGUGGGAUAGCCCAGGGAAACUUGGAUUAAUACCACAUAUUGCCAUUGGGAGGCAUCUCUUGAUGGCCAAAGAAUUUCGGUAACGGAUGGGCGUGCGGUUGAUUAGGUAGUUGGCGGGGUAACGGCCCACCAAGCCUACGAUCAAUAGCUGAUGUGAGAGCAUGAUCAGCCACACGGGCACUGAGACACGGGCCCGACUCCUACGGGAGGCAGCAGUAAGGAAUAUUGGGCAAUGGACGAAAGUCUGACCCAGCCAUGCCGCGUGAAGGAUGAAGGUCCUCUGGAUUGUAAAGCUCUUCAGUGGGGAAGAUAAUGACUGUACCCACAGAAGAAGCCCGGCUAACUCCGUGCCAGCAGCCG